RNAcentral lists this ribosomal RNA (114 nucleotides) under uncultured eukaryote. Its description in RNAcentral is "partial small subunit ribosomal RNA". It matches the Rfam family "Eukaryotic small subunit ribosomal RNA", at positions 1676 to 1785 of the family's 1831-position model. The record is from RNAcentral.
UCGCUCCUACCGAUUGAAUUGUCCGGUGAAGCUCUAGGACCGAGCCAUGCGAGCUGGUUCGCUAGCUUACGUGGUUUGGAAAUUGCGCUAAAUUGUAUCAUUUAGAGGAAGGAG